This 750-nucleotide ribosomal RNA is filed under the name bacterium. RNAcentral describes it as "bacterial SSU rRNA". It matches the Rfam family "Bacterial small subunit ribosomal RNA", at positions 37 to 768 of the family's 1533-position model. The record is from RNAcentral.
GGGCAGGGCGCAUGCUAUACAUGCAAGUCGAGCGGACAGAAGGGAGCUUGCUCCCGGAUGUUAGCGGCGGACGGGUGAGUAACACGUGGGUAACCUGCCUGUAAGACUGGGAUAACUCCGGGAAACCGGAGCUAAUACCGGAUAGUUCCUUGAACCGCAUGGUUCAAGGAUGAAAGACGGUUUCGGCUGUCACUUACAGAUGGACCCGCGGCGCAUUAGCUAGUUGGUGAGGUAACGGCUCACCAAGGCGACGAUGCGUAGCCGACCUGAGAGGGUGAUCGGCCACACUGGGACUGAGACACGGCCCAGACUCCUACGGGAGGCAGCAGUAGGGAAUCUUCCGCAAUGGACGAAAGUCUGACGGAGCAACGCCGCGUGAGUGAUGAAGGUUUUCGGAUCGUAAAGCUCUGUUGUUAGGGAAGAACAAGUGCAAGAGUAACUGCUUGCACCUUGACGGUACCUAACCAGAAAGCCACGGCUAACUACGUGCCAGCAGCCGCGGUAAUACGUAGGUGGCAAGCGUUGUCCGGAAUUAUUGGGCGUAAAGGGCUCGCAGGCGGUUUCUUAAGUCUGAUGUGAAAGCCCCCGGCUCAACCGGGGAGGGUCAUUGGAAACUGGGAAACUUGAGUGCAGAAGAGGAGAGUGGAAUUCCACGUGUAGCGGUGAAAUGCGUAGAGAUGUGGAGGAACACCAGUGGCGAAGGCGACUCUCUGGUCUGUAACUGACGCUGAGGAGCGAAAGCGUGGGGAG